AUGGCAAGCGACCAUACCAACUACACGGUCUUCAUGCCGCCCACCCCAGACAACCAGCCAGGGGCCGCGUCCGCUCCCGCCUCCGGCGGCCCAACCAAGCCGGACAACCUUCCCUUGCCACGCUCGUCGGGCUCCAAGCUCGUGAACCGCCGGAGCGGCGACGAUGGCGCGGCCGGCGGCGGCAAGAUGGACCGUCGGCUUUCCCCGGUGCAGGUGGCGUCGCCGUCCAAGUCGUUGCUGGUGCGGAGCCAAACCGGGGAGUUCGACCACAACCGGUGGCUGUUCGAGACCCAGGGCACGUACGGCAUCGGGAACGCGUACUGGCCGCAGGAGGACAACGACGACGGCGCCGGCAUGGGCGGCGGCAGCGUCAAGAUGGAGGACCUCGUCGACAAGCCCUGGAAGCCGCUGAGCCGGAAGGUGGCCAUUCCUCCGGGCAUUCUAAGCCCCUACAGGUUGCUGGUGCUGGUGCGGUUCGUGGCGCUGUUUCUCUUCUUGGUAUGGCGCGCGACGAACCCCAACCCGGACGCGAUGUGGCUGUGGGGGAUCUCCAUCGUGUGCGAGUACUGGUUCGCCCUCUCCUGGCUCCUGGACCAGAUGCCCAAGCUGAACCCCAUCAACCGCGCCGCCGACCUGGCCGCGCUCCGGGAGAAGUUCGAGUCCAAGACGCCGUCCAACCCGACGGGCCGCUCCGACCUGCCGGGGCUCGACGUCUUCAUCUCCACCGCCGACCCCUACAAGGAGCCGCCGCUCGUCACCGCCAACACGCUGCUCUCCAUCCUCGCCACCGACUACCCGGUCGAGAAGCUCUUCGUCUACAUCUCCGACGACGGCGGCGCGCUGCUCACCUUCGAGGCCAUGGCGGAGGCCUGCGCCUACGCCAAGGUGUGGGUGCCCUUCUGCCGCAAGCACUCCAUCGAGCCCCGCAACCCGGAGGCCUACUUCACCCAGAAGGGCGACCCCACGAAAGGCAAGAAGCGGCCGGACUUCGUCAAGGACCGGCGGUGGAUCAAGCGCGAGUACGACGAGUACAAGGUGCGUAUCAAUGACCUCCCCGAGGCCAUCAAACGGCGCGCCAAGGCCAUGAACGCCCACGAGCGCAAAAUCGCCCGUGAGACGGCCGCCGCCUCGUCCGAUGCCGCCCCGCCCCCCGUCAAGGCCACCUGGAUGGCCGACGGCACCCACUGGCCCGGCACCUGGCUCGACUCCGCCCCCGACCACGGCAAGGGAGACCACGCCAGCAUCGUCCAGGUGAUGAUCAAGAACCCUCACCACGACGUGGUGUACGGGGACGCGGACGACCACGCGUACCUGGACUUCACCAACGUGGACGUGCGCAUCCCCAUGUUCGUGUACCUGUCGCGGGAGAAGCGGCCGGGGUACGACCACAACAAGAAGGCGGGCGCCAUGAACGCCAUGGUGCGCGCGUCCGCGGUCCUGUCCAACGGGCCCUUCAUGCUCAACUUCGACUGCGAUCACUACGUGUACAACUGCCAGGCCAUCCGGGAGGCCAUGUGCUACAUGCUCGACCGCGGCGGCGACCGCAUCUGCUACAUCCAGUUCCCGCAGCGCUUCGAGGGCAUCGACCCCUCCGACCGCUACGCCAACCACAACACCGUCUUCUUCGACGGCAACAUGCGCGCGCUCGACGGCCUCCAGGGGCCCAUGUACGUCGGCACCGGCUGCCUCUUCCGCCGCUACGCCAUCUACGGCUUCAACCCGCCGCGCGCGGUCGAGUACCACGGCUUGGUCGGCCAGACCAGGGUGCCCAUCGACCCGAACGCACGCUCUGGGGACGGCGUCGCCGACGAGCUCCGCCCGCUGUCCGACCACCCGGACCACGAGGCGCCGCAGCGGUUCGGCAAGUCCAAGAUGUUCAUCGAGUCCAUCGCCGUGGCCGAGUACCAGGGCCGGCCGCUGGCGGACCACCCCUCGGUCCGGAACGGCCGCCCGCCCGGCGCGCUGCUCAUGCCGCGGCCGCCGCUCGACGCCGCCACCGUGGCGGAGGCCGUCUCGGUGAUCUCCUGCUGGUACGAGGACAACACGGAGUGGGGGCUGCGCGUCGGCUGGAUCUACGGCUCCGUGACGGAGGACGUCGUGACCGGGUACCGGAUGCACAACCGCGGGUGGCGCUCCGUGUACUGCAUCACGAAGCGCGACGCGUUCCGGGGCACGGCGCCCAUCAACCUCACCGACCGGCUCCACCAGGUGCUCCGGUGGGCGACGGGGUCCGUGGAGAUCUUCUUCUCCAAGAACAACGCGCUGCUGGCGUCCCGCCGGCUCAUGUUCCUGCAGCGCAUGUCGUACAUCAACGUGGGCAUCUACCCGUUCACGUCCCUCUUCCUCAUCAUGUACUGCCUCCUGCCGGCGCUCUCCCUCUUCUCCGGGCAGUUCAUCGUGGCCACGCUGGACCCGACCUUCCUCUGCUAUCUCCUGCUCAUCACCAUCACGCUCGUGCUGCUGUGCCUGCUGGAGGUGAAGUGGUCCGGGAUCGGGCUGGAGGAAUGGUGGCGCAACGAGCAGUUCUGGGUGAUCGGGGGCACGUCGGCGCACCUGGCGGCCGUGCUGCAGGGCCUGCUCAAGGUGGCCGCCGGCAUCGAGAUAUCGUUCACGCUGACGGCGAAGGCGGCGGCGGAGGACGACGACGACCCGUUCGCGGAGCUGUACCUCAUCAAGUGGACGUCGCUCUUCAUCCCGCCGCUGGCCAUCAUCGGGAUCAACAUCAUAGCCAUGGUGGUGGGGGUGUCGCGCUGCGUGUACGCGGAGAUCCCGCAGUACAGCAAGCUGCUGGGCGGCGGGUUCUUCAGCUUCUGGGUGCUGGCGCACUACUACCCGUUCGCCAAGGGCCUCAUGGGGCGGCGGGGCCGCACGCCGACCAUCGUCUACGUCUGGGCGGGGCUCAUCUCCAUCACCGUCUCCCUGCUCUGGAUCACCAUCAGCCCGCCCGACGACAGGGUCUCGCAGAGCGGCAUCGAGGUGUGA
Molecule: ribosomal RNA, 2982 nt
Filed under: Triticum aestivum (bread wheat)
Lineage: Eukaryota; Viridiplantae; Streptophyta; Magnoliopsida; Poales; Poaceae
Description: partial small subunit ribosomal RNA
Source: RNAcentral